RNAcentral lists this ribosomal RNA (446 nucleotides) under uncultured bacterium. RNAcentral describes it as "partial 16S ribosomal RNA". It matches the Rfam family "Bacterial small subunit ribosomal RNA", at positions 338 to 795 of the family's 1533-position model. The record is from RNAcentral.
CCUACGGGGGGCAGCAGUCGAGAAUCAUUCACAAUGGGGGAAACCCUGAUGGUGCGACGCCGCGUGGGGGAAUGAAGGUCUUCGGAUUGUAAACCCAUGUCAUGUGGGAGCAAAUUAAAAAGAUAGUACCACAAGAGGAAGAGACAGCUAACUCUGUGCCAGUAGCCGCGGUAAUACAGAGGUCUCAAGCGUUGUUCGGAAUCACUGGGCGUAAAGCGUGCGUAGGCUGUUUCGUACGUCGUGUGUGAAAGGCGCGAGCUAAACCCGCGGACGGCACACGAAUCUGCGAGAAUAGAGUAAUAGAGGGGGAACCGGAAUUCUCGGUGUAGCAGUGAAAGGCGUAGAUAGCGAGAGGAACACUAGUGGCGAAGGCGGGUGCCUGGACAUUAGCAGACGCUGAGGCACGAAGGCCAGGGGAGCGAAAGGGAUUAGAUACCCGGGUAGUC